GGCUGGUUAGCUCAGUUGGUUAGAGCGUCGUGCUAUGCGCGAAGUUUGUGGGUUCGAUACCCGUACUGGCCA
This is a non-coding RNA of Oncorhynchus gorbuscha (pink salmon), 72 nucleotides long. The record is from the annotation of a RefSeq genome assembly. NCBI's taxonomy places the organism in Eukaryota, Metazoa, Chordata, Actinopteri, Salmoniformes, Salmonidae.